RNAcentral lists this ribosomal RNA (912 nucleotides) under uncultured crenarchaeote. Its description in RNAcentral is "bacterial SSU rRNA". It matches the Rfam family "Archaeal small subunit ribosomal RNA", at positions 1 to 922 of the family's 1478-position model. Lineage: Archaea; Thermoproteati; Thermoproteota. The record is from RNAcentral.
UUCCGGUUGAUCCUGCCGGACCCGACUGCUAUCAGAGUGGGACUAAGCCAUGCGAGUCGACGUAGCAAUACGUGGCGAACGGCUCAGUAACACGUAGUCAACAUGCCCAGGGGACGUGGAUAAUCUCGGGAAACUGAGAAUAAACCACGAUAGGUCACGAUUUCUGGAAUGGAUCUUGGCUUAAAUCUACAUGGCCCCUGGAUUGGACUGCGGCCGAUCAGGCUGUUGGUGAGGUAAUGGCCCACCAAACCUAUAACCGGUACGGGCUCUGAGAGGAGGAGCCCGGAGAUGGGCACUGAGACAAGGGCCCAGGCCCUAUGGGGCGCAGCAGGCGCGAAACCUCUGCAAUAGGCGAAAGCCUGACAGGGUUACUCUGAGUGAUUUCCGCUAAGGGGAUCUUUUGGCACCUCUAAAAAUGGUGCAGAAUAAGGGGUGGGCAAGUCUGGUGUCAGCCGCCGCGGUAAUACCAGCACCCCGAGUGGUCGGGACGAUUAUUGGGCCUAAAGCAUCCGUAGCCGGUUCUGCAAGUCUUCCGUUAAAUCCAGCCGCUCAACGGAUGGGCCGCGGAGGAUACUAUAGGACUAGGAGGCGGGAGAGGCAAGCGGUACUCAGUGGGUAGGGGUAAAAUCCUUUGAUCCAUUGAAGACCACCAGUGGCGAAGGCGGCUUGCCAGAACGCGCUCGACGGUGAGGGAUGAAAGCUGGGGGAGCAAACCGGAUUAGAUACCCGGGUAGUCCCAGCUGUAAACGAUGCAGACUCGGUGAUGGGCUAGCCUUGUGCCAGCCCAGUGCCGCAGGGAAGCCGUUAAGUCUGCCGCCUGGGGAGUACGGUCGCAAGACUGAAACUUAAAGGAAUUGGCGGGGGAGCACCACAAGGGGUGAAGCCUGCGGUUCAAUUGGAUUCAACGCCGGG